UUUGAGAUGGCCUCGCGUCCGAUUAGCUAGUUGGUGAGGUAACGGCCCACCAAGGCGACGAUCGGUAGCCGGACUGAGAGGUUGAACGGCCACAUUGGGACUGAGACACGGCCCAGACUCCUACGGGAGGCAGCAGUGGGGAAUAUUGCACAAUGGGGGAAACCCUGAUGCAGCAACGCCGCGUGAAGGAAGACGGUUUUCGGAUUGUAAACUUCUUUUCUUAGUGAAGAAGAAAGUGACGGUAGCUAAGGAAUAAGCAUCGGCUAACUAC
Molecule: ribosomal RNA, 271 nt
Filed under: uncultured bacterium
Lineage: Bacteria
Description: partial 16S ribosomal RNA
Rfam family: Bacterial small subunit ribosomal RNA
Source: RNAcentral